Molecule: long non-coding RNA, 2587 nt
Filed under: Salmo salar (Atlantic salmon)
Lineage: Eukaryota; Metazoa; Chordata; Actinopteri; Salmoniformes; Salmonidae
Description: lncRNA (ENSSSAG00000081959.1, ENSSSAG00000122269.1)
Source: RNAcentral
GCGUUGUGGCGCCCCCUAUCCUAGGCGACAUUCAAGAGGUUAAUCUAACUUGUUGCUUAGUAACACUGGACAUUUUACCCCCAUCUAGAGGUGCAAGACAGGAAAACAUGUAUGUACUACAGUUUCUAAAUCGUUCCUGCCCUAUAGGGCGCACUGGUGAGUCUAUUUGGCCUCAUCCUCUGUCUGAGCUCUAUUGCAAUUUGCCACGUAAUCUCCCGAGUUCAGAGCACAUGCCGCGUUCACUUGCUAGUCAGAACGAGGAAACUCGGAAACUUCAGACUUGCUAAGUGGUUGUAGUUGCUGUAUACACGUGUCGCGUUCAAGCAGUUAUAGCAAGUCGGAAAUGUCCGAGUUUCCUAGUCCCGACCAGUAAGUGAACGCGGCAAUAGACAUAGGUACAAGGGGCAGUCUGCGGAAUGAGUAGCAGAGCAACAGAAGCUUGGUGAAACUGGACCAGAUCACACGGGCAAAACCGAGGCGCAUAACGUUACAAAUUCAAGGUGGAUGUUAUUUUCUUGUGAAAACAUUGGAACGUGGAUAUUGUUAAUUGAGUAGGUGCGUGCCAGUGGUGUUGGCGAGCAAGUGGACCACCACCGACUGCACCUCCAGAACUGUAGAGGGAGUCACUGCACCUGCAGGAUUUGGCUGAGCCUAGCUGAGUGCUGCAGUGUGUCCACCCAGGGAGGGAACCACCAUGAGGCAGCUGAAGGGGAAGCCCAAGAAGGAGACGUCCAGGGACAAGAAGGAGCGUAAGGCGGCCAUGCAGGAGGCCCGGUCGCAGGUGGCCACAGUGGUUCUACCCACGCUGGCUGUGGUGGUGCUGCUCAUCGUAGUCUUUGUCUACGUGGCCACCAUGCCCAGAGCCAUAGAGUAGUGACCGGUUCCACACCCCUCACCUUGGCCCUAACCCCUCAAUGUUAGUAUGUCUGUAGCUCUCCAGGAACAGCGUCGGAGAACCCUGAGCAGUGUAGUAGUAAUUCCACCAUAGGAGCAAUAUCUAAUAGAUCUGGGCCAAGGGGAAGGGUAGGGACCGGCUCUAAGAUGGCUGGGCCCCAAUGGGGAUGCAUGCCCCUGCCCUACCACCCUGGACUGGGUCCCAAUUUACCCAGAGACUUGCUGCACCCAAAGGAUGACCCCAACCACCCCUUCCCCUGACUGCCAGCUUAACAUGCAUAUAGACCUUUUCUGGUCACUCAUCCCAUCCUCACCCCGUUCCACGUUUUCGCUCUCAUCCCUUUCUCUCAGAUCGAUCUGUCUGUCUGUGUGGUCCUCAGAGACCUGCCAUUUGUCUUAAUUGAUGCUUCCUCCCAAGUGCAGUUUUGCCACUAGAGAAUUGAGCUGCAAAAAAAGUAUUACAGUAGUGGCUUCAUAGGUGCCUUUUGAUGGAUGAUGUGUGGCAACUAAGGCAGCCAUGUUGGCUCAAGGGCAGAACUUAUAUCCAUUACAUCAGUGUUUGCCAACCCUGGUCCUCCAGUACCCCCAACAGUCCAACCCUGGUCCUCCAGUACCCCCAGGGUUGGACUGUUGGGGGUACUGGAGGACCAGGGUUGGACUGUUGGGGGUACUGGAGGACCAGGGUUGGGGAAACACUGCAUUACAUGUCUAUCAAUCACUCUGUAACGACGGUAGGAUUCAUUUUGGCUCUGGUGCUGUCUUAAAGAGUUUCAAUUUCCUGUUUACAAGAGGACUUUUAGGGCAUAGCUUGCCAAGUUUGACCUGGGGAUGUUUUAAUCAGGCGAAAGGUUGAGGACGUGUGAUAAGAUGAAUUAAUCUACUGGCAUUGUUGAGCAAUGUGUUAAGAUUAUAGUCACAUGACAAAGUCCAGCAGUCCAAGCUAUGUCUGUAGAAUGUAUACAUCCACAAAUGUGUGAUUUGAAGAAAAAGAAAUGUAUUUUAACAUGCCAGCAUUGGUCCUGUCUGUUCGAAUAGUUGAAUGCAACUCAGGAUUUUGUCCUGAUUGAAUGUGGUGUUUGUACUGGACAGAUUGCGAAUAUGUCACAGGAGAACAUAAUGACACUAUUCCAUGUACAAUCCCAGCGCUACACACUUUGUACCUUUUUUUUAAGCUACUGACAACUUUGACUUUUGAGUUGCUCAGUAUGACAUCUGUGCAGAUGAGGAAAAUAUGUGCCUUAUAAUGUUUGACAAUGAGCCUUUUCAGUUAAUAAAGAAAACUGAAAGACUUGUUUGUUGUUCUAGUCCCUUCAAACUCUAUUCUAGACCUCGAAGCCAGUUCCACUGCUUUUUCCCCCAUUGUUCCCCUCUACUCAGGGACUGCUUUAGGCCGGGGACACCAGGUGGGUGCAACUAAUUAGAGUAAAACAGAAAAUCAGAAGACUCUGGACCUCGUAGGGUAAGCGUUGAAUACCCUUGCUCUAGUCUAUUUGGUGGCAUUGUGUACCUUUACCCAUGUGCAGUAAUGCAGAUGGCGCAGUAGUCACCUGGCAUCCUCUAGGAACACUGAAGAGCACAGAGUCCCUGCUGUAUGUCCCUGUUGCCCAAGGUCUGACUUGCUUUGGAUGAGGAGUGGUUUUAACAAACCCAGUUGUGUGCUCUCUCCUUGGUCAUUGUCUCUGUGGUGCUAUGC